This 12060-nucleotide long non-coding RNA is filed under the name Gossypium barbadense (sea-island cotton). RNAcentral describes it as "long non-coding RNA (GBAR_LNC009690)". Lineage: Eukaryota; Viridiplantae; Streptophyta; Magnoliopsida; Malvales; Malvaceae. The record is from RNAcentral.
AUUGGUUUUCUAGGUUUUCCUUAGCUCAAAAGGUGGAAGAAAGAAAAUGACAAUUUUAAGUUGUUAUUUAUAUCUUAAUUAGUUUUUUAAUUAAUCAAAAUUAAGUUAAUUAACCUAUAAGCUUAAUUAACAUGUGAUAGUGGAUUACAAUCGACAUCCACACCCAAAUUUUCAAUUGGUCCUCCAAUUAAUUAAAAAUCCAUAACAAUUAAUUUUUAUCAUUUUUAUAAUUUAGUCAUUAUACCUUAAUUAACUAUCAGAUUAACAAAAUUAAUAGACCAAAUUUUAAUUAGACUUUAUACUAACCUCGUUCAUAUUAUAAUAAUAUUUACGGACUCGCAAAUCGAAAAUAAAAUUUCGAAACCACCGUUUUCGACACUACUAACUUUCGAGUUGUUGCACAACGUCUAUGAUUUCAUUCUUCAAAGUUAAGGUUUAUAACACCAUAAUAGUCUUACAAUUUUCUAUUUCUGUUUUUUUAAUAAUAUUAUUUUAAUCUAAAAGAUUAUUCGAGCUAGGAAAAGUUAGAAUUCUACAUUUAAUAGGAAGAAAUUUAAAUUAAUUUAAUGAAAAAAAUCACUCAUAUAUUCCCUUCUGUUAUUUACUCACAAGAUAAGAAUUUAUAAGAAAUAAUUGUAUAAUAACAUGUUAUUGAUUAAACCAUAAGAUAAAGUAAAAUUCCUUUCUUCUCUUGUUAUAUUUGUUUGUUUGUUUACUCUUUAAAAUUAAUAAUUAGACUUGAUUUACUUUUAUUCCUUUACUCCCACAAUAACCUAGGGAAAAGUUAAAGCAUUGAAAAUUAAAAUAUAUAAUUAAAAUUUUCCACUAUAUUAUCAUUCCUUUCAAUAUUCAUUUUCUUAUGAAGGAGAAUACGCUAUUAAUCUAAAUGGUUUAAUCAUAUAAUAAGUAAUUCUUUUUCUAAUUUUUCGAGACUUAUAAUUAAAUGAACAAUCAUUUAUCCUUUUCUUAGAAUUAAGGAAAACAGGCUUACUAUUAUUUGCCAUUCUCACAAGCAUUUUAUGAUUCUCAUGAAUUCCAACAAUAUAAAUAUUUGAUUUAUAAGCUUAGCUUCCAUCAACCCAUUUUGUUGUUAUUUAAUACACAAACAAGCAAGCAAAAACACAAAGAUGAGCCUUCAACACUUUAGCCAUCAACAUCCACUAGUGUCCAAUGAAAGCCAUGGCCACGAAAUUGAAAAGGUGAAAUGCUCAGGAUGUGGGGAGUCAGUGUCAGGUUCCAGCUUUGGUUGUGCGGAGUGUGGGUUUUAUCUACACAAGCAGUGUGCUGAGGCUCCUACACAGAUGAAUCACCCUUUCCAUCGCGACCACAACCUUAAUCUUCUUGCAAGGAAUCCAUACAACGCCGGUACAGGUACCUGCGAUUUCUGUGAAAAACCCUGUGAGAAUUUUGUUUAUCAUUAUUCUUGCAAUUUAAACUUUCACAUCAAAUGUGCAUUAUUUUCUCAUAGCAUUGCUGAGAAAGGAAAUGCAGAGUUUCAAGACAUUUCCCGUAUAGAUCCAUCGAUCAAUACAGGAAAUGUUACUGAAGAACUCAAAAAAGCUCAAUGUUUUGCUUGUUGGAAGCCAUUAUUAGAUUAUGUAUACUUUUCUCCCAAUUGUGGCUUUUACCUGCAUUCAAAAUGUGUUGAUCUACCAACAGAAAUCAAUCACCUCUUUCACCAAGAACAUCCUCUCUUUUUACAAUUUAACAGUCAAAGACUCUCUUGCAAGAUUUGUCAAAAACCCCAACGUCGGGGAUUUGUUUAUUGUUGUCCACCUUCCAAAUUUGCCCUUCAUAUCCAAUGUGCCACAAUACCUACCAAAAUCAAUCAACCUUUCCAUCGCGAACACCCUCUUAUUCUUCAAUCUGUCGACGAAUAUCAUCCUUGUCAAAUAUGCCAAGAAACCACCAACCUUAAUGAUGUCGUGUAUUUUUGUUCAAUUUGCAAGUUUGUCCUUCAUAGUAGGUGUGUGUCAUCACCACCAACUAUAGAAGAUAAACUUCAUCAUGAACAUCCAUUUACCCUAUUUCCAAGACAAGUCUCAGUUUGUGAUGCUUGUGGCACUCUAGGGAAUUAUGUUCCUUAUAUUUGUUCCACAUGCGGUAUUUUUGUCCAUAAAAAUUGCAUUUCAGUGCCACGCGUCAUCAAAUUCUAUCGGCAUCAGCACCGCAUUUACCACACAUAUUUCCUGGACCAAAAUGAAUCUGAAUCGUGGGAAUGUAGAUUUUGCUUGAAGGAGGUGAACGCAAAGCAUGGGAGUUACUUUUGUUCUAAAUGCAAUUACAUAGUCCAUGUAAAGUGUGCAACAAAUUACAGUCGUUUGUAUUACGAGGUUGACUCUACAGAAACAGAAGAAGAGACGGACUUAAAUGAACCUGUCGAUUUGAGAGAAAUUCAUCCACAUAACUUAAUACUGAGUGGAGACAUUAGGGAUUUUAAACAAUGCGACGGUUGCCUUCUACCCAUCGAUACUUCUUAUUGUUAUUGUUCACAAUGUGAUUUCUUUCUCCACAAAGCUUGUGCUGCAUUACCUGUUAAGAAGCAUCUUUGGUUUCACUAUUGCCAAAAGCUUCUUAAACUUACUUCUGGUGCAUUUUUCAAUGUAAAAUGUGCAAAUAUUUUACAAGUGGCUUUGCCUAUACCUGUGAUAAAUGCCAAGUAAGUAAUUGUUUGCGAUGUUCUUUGGUUUCUGAUAUGCCUAAAUGUGAAGGACAUGAACAUCGCCUCCAUAGCUUUCAUAGCAAGAAUUAUCAAUUGUGUAGAGGUUGUGGUCGGCUUUUUAAAGGUUGGAUGUUCACUUGUAAGCAGUGCAAUUUUUAUUGGGAAUAGAACUGUCUUACAUUGCCUCUUACAGCUCAACAUAGUUCUGAUGUACAUCCUUUCAAACUCACUUAUCACAAGGAUGAUGACAAUUAUUCAGAAAAUUAUUAUUGUGAUAUUUGUGAAGAGAAAAGGAAUCCCAAAUAUUGGUUUUAUCAUUGUUCAGCUUGUAACACUUCAGCUCAUCGCAAUUGUGUUCUUAAAGAAUAUCCAUUCAUCAAGCCUGGGACCAACUACACAGAAAAAGAUCAUCCACGUCAUCUCACUUUUGUCAAAAGGGUUGAGUUUUAUCCAGAAUGUCAUAGAUGUGAUAAGCACUGCCUUGAUCUAUCCCUUCAAUGUAAGACAGUUGGAUGCAACUAUAUUAUUCAUUGGGAGUGUAGAACAUCUUGCAAGCCGCGGUGGGAACCGUCAUGGCAGCAACCACCGCCGCAACAGCUGCCGCCGCUGCCGCCACUGCUGCCGCCGUCACUACGACUACUGCUACCGCCAUCGGUGCGACAGUGGCCCCCAUUGCGACAACCUCCACCGGCGCGACAACCUCCACCGCCGCGAAAGCCUCUACUGCGGCGACAGCCGCCACGACAACCUCCACUGCAACGACAACCUCGACCGCAGCGACAGCCUCGACCGUCGCGACAGCCGCCACCGCUGCCUCGACAGCCUCUACUGCAGCGACAACCUCAACCGCAGCAACAGCCUCGACCGCUGCGACAACUGAACUGCCGGCUCGACAGCCUCCACUGCAGCGACAACCUCAACCGCAGUAACAGCCUCAACCGCCGCGACAGCUUCCACCGCGACAGCCUCCACCAAUGCGACAACCUAUACCGCUGCAACAGCCGCCGCCACCGUGAUAGCCUCAACCGCCACGACAGCAGCCACCGCCGCCACUGCUGUUGCAGUAGUCGUAAAGGCUGCCGCCAUGGCAUGUUUCUCUGUUUUCUCAAAUUAUUUAACUUAUUUGUAAUUUUUUUCUUUCAAUUUAUAUAUUUAGAGCAACUAAGAAAACUACCUACAAAACCAACUCACUAAACCAUGUAUUGUUGGAACUAGAUAAUAAGUAUCGAUUAUAGAUAUUGAUCAGUUUUCUAUACACUUACAUAUGUUCAAAUAUGUGUUAAAACAAAAAUUUUCAAUACUAAUAUUUUAAAAAAUAAAUAACAAAAAAUCCAAAGAAUAUAAAACAAGCAAAUGCCAAACCUCAGGCUCUAAUAUACAUUAUGUUAUUUUGCAACUAUUAACAGCAUCAUAAAUUAAAAGACAAAACUCAUAUAAAGAGAGCCAUAAUAUAGACAAAUUUUGAGGAAAAACAUUCAUAAUGGGUUCACAAAGGAAUACCAUUGUCCAUAAAUUUCAUCGUAGAAAUUCAUGUUUGUUUUACCUUCUAAACUCAUAUUUUAAUUAAUUAACAAAUUAAUAUAAUGAGAACUAAAACAAUCACUUUUAUUUACUUCAGGCUAUAUUUUAGUCAUUUAUUUUUGAAAUGUUACGUUUUAAUUACUUACGUUAACUUGUUGUAACAUUUUAGUCACUGAGCCGUUAAUUAUCGUUAACGAUGUAACGGUAAGCUAACAUGGCACGUUAAAUCAUCAUAUUAAAUAAAAAAUUUAGGUUAAAUUAUACAAUUGGUUCCCAUAUUUUCUCAUUUUGAGCAAUUUAAUUUUUUUCUUUUAACUUUUUUUCUUUAUUUUCCAUUCUCUUCUACUCCCUCCUCUAUUUUCCUCCCUUCUCUAUCUCUUUUAAUGUAGUUUUUCUGUGUUUUCCAUUUGAUAAAAUUAAUGGGAAAGAAGAAAAGAAAAAGAAAAAGAAAAAAUAAAUUGUUCAAAAAAAUAAAAAUAUAGAGACUAAUGGAAAGCAUAGAAAAAGUACUUGAAAAAGAUGGAGAAUGGAAAAUAAAGAACAAAAAACAAAAAAUUUAAAAUACUCAAAAAAAAUAAAAAUAUAGAGACCAAUUGUAUAAUUUAACCUGAAACUUUUGUUUGAAAUGAUGAUUUAAUUUGACAUCUGCUUACCGUUACACCGUUAACAGCUCAGUUACUAAAAGGUUACAACAUAUUAACCUAAGUGACUAAAGCGUAACAUUUCAAACAUAUAUGAUUAAAAUGUAUCGUGAGGCAAACAAAAGUGACUAUUAUGAUAAUUUAUCCCAAUAAGAAAUACAAAUAUAAUGUAAAGUAAUACUUUUUCUGUUCCAAUAAAAAAAAAGUGUAGGUAGCCAUGCUUUAUUAGAUAUCAAUCAAUGACUAGAAAUAGAUAGGCAAAAGCAAAAUUACGGCUACUUUUUUUCAUUGGGUCUCAAACAAAUUGAGUUGAAGUGAUUAACAAGUGAUUCUUCCCAUUAUUUUCAAGUCUCAUAUUAUUGGUAUUAAGUUUUACAUCAAUUAACUCUAAGUAUAUGGCUAUGGUUUCCAAGUUUAAGGGAGAUUCGAUCCUAGUUCCGAGAGAGGGAUAGAUUUACAAACAAUUACAAUUUAUUUGGAUACGGGUGAUCCAAACCCUGCUCAAUUUAAGCAUUACUUUAGAUCCCAAGAUUAGGGUUAUAAAUAGAAAAUUCUGAUGUUCGUAUAUCAUAAUUAUAGUUGUUGGACUUAAAGUUUAAUUUACAAAAAUUGAGCAAGAACAUUGUAAUAGCCCAAUUUUACCCGGGCUUUAAAUAAAAUGAAAUAGUCCCUUACAAGCCCAAAAACAACAAAAAACAGAAGCCCAAAUCAAAAAUAAAACCCUAAGACCUAGACAGCCCAAAACCUAAACAGAAAAAGAAAAAACCCUAGCCCCUAGCCUAAGCGUCGCACCCUACCAACGCCGCUCCCCCACGUCAGCCACCAACUGCUCUGCCACCACCGCCCAACUGCUUCUGCAGAGAAGUGAAGCACCCAAAGAAAAAAAUAAUAAUAAGUAGCAAUGAACAAUGGUUGUAAAUCAGGCUAUAAAAGCCUCAAGAAAAAUGUAAUGUUUUUUUAUAGAUUUUGAAUACAAACACAGAAAAUUGAAUAAAAAAACAGAGAAAAAAUUAAAAAAAAAAACAUAGAGAAUCAAUCAAAAAUUCAUAAAAGUGGUUCUUUUAUUCUUAUUUUUUUUAUUUUCAUUUUAAACGAUUAAAAAUGGUGUUUUUCAUUUUGUGAUUUUACUUGUUUUUAUUUUAAAGAAACAAACGAAAAAGAAAAAUGAAAAGCCGAAACCUUACCUUUUCGUUAUGCCAUCGUGAAAAUGGGGGGCCGAGGCUACCAUCUCUAAUGAAAGAUGGAGUUUUUGGACUAGGGGAGUCAAAAAGCCAAAGAAAAUGGCCUUUUUGAAAUUUUCGGCCACCGUGGACGGCGAAGCAGUCACCAUUGACCGGCGGCCGCCACAAUGGCCGACGGCCGGACCCAUAGCCGGAUUAGAAACCCUAGCAGAGAAAAACAAAGGUGCUUUGAAGUUUUUUUUUUAAAACUUUGGCAGAAAUGAGUUUUUUUUUAUUUUUUUGGCUUUUAUAAGCAAAGGAAACGACGCCGUUUUGAAAGGGUCAAAAAGGCCCCAAAACGAUAUCGUUUUAGACCAAACCUAGAAUCCGACCCGAACGAUCGGUGUGUUUUUAAAUAAGGGUCUAUUUACCCUUUCAAUCCUUUCGUUUUUAAAUUUUAUUUUAAUUCAGUCCCAUUUCAUUUUUUUAAUUUUACCCUGAAAUUUUAAUUUUGUUUCACUUUUGCCCUUGUGAAAUGAUGCGUUUAGUGGGUCUAGGAUUAAUUUCCCAAUUGGUCCUCCCACCUUUGUGCGCGUUUUAUUUAGGCCUUUCAAUCUGCCCCUUUAUUUCUUUAUUUUAAAAUCCAUCCCAAAAUUUCGUCUAAAUGGAAAUUUAAUCCUUGUUUAUUUAUUUUGAACCCUUUCUUUGACUAUUAUUUAUUUUUAUGGUUUCUGUUAUAUUUUAUCAUUUUAUUUUAUUUAUCUAUUUUAUUAUUAUUUCCUUUAAAAAAUGGUUUGUUAUUCGUAUACAUGGUACAUUCCUUUUGUUUAUUUUUUUAUUUUUUUAUUAUGGUUAUUAUUACUCUUUUUUUUCUUUUUCAUUUUUUUGCUUACUUAUUUAUUACCCUUUUUUCAUUAAUUUUAAAAAUUAUUUAUUAUUAAUUAUUUUCAUAAUUAGUAUUAUUAUUAUCAUUAUUGUCAUUUUCAUUAUUAUUAUCAUCCUAUUAUGCAUUGUCUCUUUUAUCACUAUUUUAUGCUUUGAAUUUAGAUGCGUUCGUCAACUGAUGUACCAUUCCCGAAUAAAAAUGCAUAUCAAUUUAAAAUACGGUUUAUUAUUAUUCAAAAAAGAAAAUUUUCAAAAUAAGGCAAUGUUCCGUAUUUGGAAAUUCGAGAAGUCGUACCCUAACUUACUGUGUUUCGAUUUUUCUCGUUGAACCUAAAUAACUGAAUAUCCUUUUAAAAUUAAAGUACAUGAGUUUUAAAUAAAAAUAAUUAAAGGCAAACUUAUUCUCAAGAAUACGAGGUGCCGUGUCCUAACGUAGGGGAUAUGACAAUUUGUUACUUCGAGAUAAGGAGGCGUUUUAACAUUUUAAUUUACUCGAGUAAUUUUAAUUGAAAUUAACAUUAAUAUAAAGAGAGAUCGUAUUUUAAAUUCUUUUCGAGUUUUCAAUUUUCGACACCAAGACAUUAAGUAAUCAAUUAGUACCAAUUUUGGGCGUAACGAGGGUGCUAACCCUUCCUCAUCCCAAACCCAUUUUCCUGAAUUUUGUAGACCAAAAUCAUUGUUUUAGUAAAUCAAAAUUAUUUAAUUGCGAGGUGAUCCGAUCACACCUCAUAAAAAAGGAUUGGUGGCGACUCCCAUUUCCAUUUUUGGUUUUUUUUUCAAAUAAAAAGUCGACCAAAAAAAUGGUUUCGACAAACAUAAUCUAUCGUUUAUUUAUAUUGAAAAGGAUAACUUAAAUUUCAAAAAAGACAUGCUAGGGGGCUGACUCUUCAAAGUUUCAUUCACCGAGUAGUCUACCAAUCCUCUAACAAUUGAAGGUAUCACUUGAGCAAUGGUUGUAGGUAAGUGGCCUAUAUGACUCAAUUGGUGGUUCGAGUCUACCCACAUGCUAAUGAGCUCCAAAAUUAUUACACGCCCUAUACCAGUACCUCUACCUUGAGUAUUGCAGGUCUACCAACCUAGACGCUCUUGGUUCUAUGAACCAAACCCAUAGGAAAGCUACUAAAAGUAUGCUACUGAAGAAUAAUCCUUGCGAUUGUUGGGGAACAAACCAACUGCACAGUGGACAACAUUUCGAAGAGUUCCCAAACCAUUCACCCGACCCAAUUGCAAGAACACCACAUUACUUAAUUUGAUACUUUAUGUUUCUUCUUUCCCAAGGAACACAACAGUAAGCACUGUCUGGGACUGCAACGAAAGCAAUUUCAUGCCCCUAUUUGCACAAAUAAGCUCUAAGCCAAUGUUAUUUCAAAUGAAAUAAAUAUACAUACAUGCAUGCAUAUUUAAAUAUAUACUUAAAAAGGGAUCCUUUACCUCAUCCACUCCCAUACCAAUGACAUUCUGGAUUUUGAACUAGUUGAGGAAAGUGAUACCAGAAAUUGUGGAUAUAGUUCUGCCUAGCCAUUAGAUCAUUCAUGACCAUAUAAGUGUAACAACUCCAUGGACAAACAAAAAGAUUGGUGGUGGAUACUGAAGAUUGGAAACAAGAGUGGUACAUUAUUAGCAGCGUAGUUAGAAACCAUAGGCUUUUAAAGGGUGUCUUUGUUUGCUGCUGACUGUAUGUAGUAGGUAUCACCUAAAUUUUAGUGUUCGACUGGGUACGUUAAACAUUCAACAUCGGUACUUAAUUGAAAAAAAAAAGUUCAAGCACUAAAUUGAACACUAAAAUCAAACUCAAAUAUCAAAUACUAUAUUACCCUUGUCGUAACCAUUUUUUUGAAAAAAAAGGGGAAUUGACUUAAGUUUUGAAAAUGAAAACGAAUAAAAGAGUCGCCACCAAUCUUUUUUGAUGAGGUGUGAUCGGGUCACCUCAUAAAAGUGGUUGUUUUUAAUAAAUGGUUUGAUUUAUUUAAAUAACGAUUUUGGUCCAUGUAAAUCAAGAAAAUAGGUUCGGGAGUCGGUUACGCACGAGGAAGGGUUAGCACCCUUGAUACGCCCAAAAUUGGUACCUAGUUGAUUAAUUAGCGUCUUAGUGUCGAAGAUUGAAAAUUUGAAAGACUUUGAAAUACAAUCCCUCUUCGAAUUGAUGCUAAAAGAUGACCGAAUAAGUUAAAACGGAUGUUUAGGACUCCUUCAUUCUGAAGUAAUAAAACGUCACGCCCAGUAAGUUAGGACACGACAUUUCAAACUUUGAGAAUGAGCUUGCCUUUAUUUGAAAUUCAUGUAUUUUGACCUUUUUAAAAGGAUAUUCGACUAUUUAGUGUAAACGAGAAAAAUCGAAACCCAGUAAGUUAGGGCACGAUAUCUCGAAUUUCUAAAUGCCGAAUAUUGCCUUUGUUAACAAAAAUCUUAUCUUGAGGUAACAAAAUGUCAUACCCGGUAAGUUAUUUCGUUAUUUAGGUUAAAUGAGAAAAGUCGAAACCCAGUAAGUUAGGGCACGAUUGUCUCGAAUUACCAAAUACGGGAUAUUUACUUUUACGAAAGAAUUAUUUUGGGUCGGGUAAAGGAUGAUAUAACGCGAAUUAGUAAAAACGAAAAGAAAUAAAUCAUGAUGUUAACAAGCGUAAUAAUGAAUUAGUAUAAAUGACAAAAAUGAAAGAAAUGAGCAAGCUAUGUAACUUAAGAAGAGAGUAACAGAUAAAAAUAAUAAAGAUGAUGAAAAUAAAAAUAAAUAAGGAUAAUAAGAAUAAAAAAAGAAACUUAAUAGUAAACCGAUAAAUAAAUAAGUAAAAUAUAAAAUAGUAAAAUAAAAAUAAUAAUGUUGACAAAAAGGUAAAAAUAUGUUAAUAAAAAAAUAAUAUGCUAAUAAUGUGAUAGUAAUGAUAAUAAUAAUAGUAGUAAAAAUAAGAAUAAUAUAGUAUUAAUAAAGGUACAAAAUGAUAAUAAGUAAAAAUGCCAAUGAAAAUAAAAAAAAAAUAGCAAUAGUAGAAUAGUAAUGUUCAUGCGUAAAUAUAAAUAUAGGUAUAAUACAUAAAACAUAAACAUAGAUAUAAAGAGAUAAAUAAAAUUAGAUAAAAUAAAUAUAGAUUAAAAUAUAAUAGCAAUAAUAGCAAUAAUAAUAAAUAUUGAUAAUAAACAAUAAUAAAAGGAAUAAAAAUAAUAGUAAUAAAAAUAGUGCUAAUAGUCAUAAUAGUGAUAAUAAUAAUAGCAUGAUAAAUAUAAGAAUAGUAAAAUAAUGAUGUUAAUACCUAAACAUAAAUAUAGAUAUAAUACCUAAAAUAUAGUAAUAACUAAGAUACAAGUAGGUAAGAAAAAUAAAUAUAUAAAUGAAAAAUAAAUAAUAAGAAAACAAAUAUAGAUGGAAGCAUAAUAAUAGUAAUAGUACAAUAGUAAUAAAAAUAAUAAAAAAGGUAACAAUAAUAUACUAAAUAGUAAAGAAAUAAUAGUAACAGUAAUUAAAAUAAUAAUAAUAAUAAUAAUAGAUAAUAAUAAUAUAUUAAAUUAAUCAAUAUAAAAUUUAAAAGUAAAUAUAUAUAUAAAAUAUACAAAAGUAAAUAAAUAACGAAAUGCUAAUGAUAAUAAAAAUAAACAAACCAAAGAUUAAAAAAAAAUAGAUAGAGAAACAUAUAAAAAAGGGUUAAAAAUUGAAAAUAAAAUAAAACAUAUAAAAUAAUGAUAAUAAUAAUUACAAAUAGCAAAACAUAAUAAUAAUAAAAUAAUAAUAAUAACAGCAAGAAUAAAAAUAGUAAUGAUAAUAGAAGAUAAUAAUAAUACUAUAAUAAAUAAUAUAUUAAUUUAAUUAAUUUAAUUAAAAUAUUAAAAAAAUACUAAAUCGAACCUAAAAUAAAAGCUCGGGGCCAAUUUGAAAAUAAAUAGAGAAGGAAAGGACUAAAUCAAGCGCGCAAACAAAGAAGAGGGACUAGAUAAGAAAUUAAACCCCUUUUUUUAGGCCCUUUUCGAAGCAUCAAUGGGUAAGGGUCUGAUUGAAAACUAAAUAAAUUAAAAGGUAAAAUUUAUAAAAACGAAAAUAACAAAAAGGACUUAAUUGAAAAGAUCCACAAAAGAGGAAGGACUCGAUCCGAAAUAUCCCAUCAAAGUAAAAACACGCGGAUCCGCCAGCAUAUGGGUCGGGUCACACAUGGGUUGUCCAAAACGGUGCCGUUUUGGCACCUGGACUUCCCCCAAAAACGGUGUCAUUUUAUUAACAUAUAAAGUCCCAUUUUUUUAAAAAAAGAAGAAUCUUAUUUUCUUUCUUUUCCAGAAAACCAAUAGCAGCCCUUUCUCCCACCAUUUUCUUCAUUUUCAUCUAUGCUAGGGUUUCAAAGAAACCCAUUUCGCUGCCGCCAUGAAGCCACCGUAGGUGGUGGUCGGGGCUACGCGAAAGGGGUCUUUUGACCCUGAUUUUGGAGCACCCGAAGGCGAUAUUCUCCUUAGCCCAAGAAGACCAAAAGAAGAAGGUCCCCUCCUUCUCCCUUUCGAGUCCGUUUCCGACGACGGAGAUGAACUCCGACGACGCGACCCUCGGGAUCCUGGUAAGUUCCCUCUUCCCCUCUUCUUUAUAUUUUUAUCCAAGAAAGAAGUAAAAAAAAGGAAAAUAAAUAACGAGAAAGGGGAAAAACCGAAAAAAAGCACAAGUAAUAGGAUUCCAAAUUAACCUUUUGCUUUUUUUAUUCUUAAUGCUCUGUGCUACCACUUUCUUUUAAAAAAACCUCCUUUUUAAAAAAAAAAAUCGGUCCCCUUUCGUUCGAUUUCCUUUUCGACUUUAUAGCCGAUUACAAAAGAAAUAUUUUUUAAUCUCUGCUAUUGCUUGCUGCUUCUGCUCUGUUUUGCUUCUCUUUUGCGUGCUUUCUGCUCUCUGUUUGUUUUGCAGGUGAUGGGAUGAUGGGACGGAGGCAGUGCAAGUGGAGGCAAGUGGCCCUAGGGUUUGCUGCUUCUGUUUUUUUUUUUCUGCUGGUGGUUUGGGCUUGUUUGUAAUCGGGUCUGGGUCUUUGGGGUUAGUUUUGGGCUUGGGUAUAUUGGGCUGAUUUAGGCCUGGUCAAAAUUGGACCGGUACAACCACUUUUCAGUUUUUUAUAAUAAUUCCUAGGUUCUAAACUGAAUUUAUUUCAGUAAACAGGUUUCAAUUUCAUAUUAUGAUUAUCUUAUGCUUAAUUUUAAUUAUAGUAAUACCAUUUAAUAGGUUUCAAUUUCAUAC